AACGAGGGCAGAAAGCUCCUGAAGAAAGCUCGCAACAAAAUUUGUAUCAUCGUUUACCCACUGUGCUUUCAAGUUGGCGAAAGUUUGUGCAACAACCUAGCAAAGUAAAGCAGCAGGUAUUUCAAGCUUGCAACUAUUCCCUGCAAAUGUAAACUUGGGCUCCAAUAUGAGCCUCUUUGUGGGGACAAAAAAGAUGGCCUUCAUAAGAAGCCCCAGAAAAAGGAAGGAAGUCAUUCUCUGGCGUGUCGUCCGCUCUGACAGCAAUAGAAUUUCGAAGUGGCGUUACGUGUUCGGAGAAGGAGCCAUGACAUCUCCUACUAAAGGAGUUUCAAUACACUGACGACGCCAGAAUGACGCAACGUAAUCAUGGGCCCCUUGAAUGCUUUCGAAGGGAGAACAUUCUCGGGAGGACCACCUCGAGACUCGACCUCAUCAAGAAUCGGGAUGAGGCGAUUACCUCAUCUGAGGCAAUUACCUCAUCUUCAGCGGUGCUUGCCAGGAAUCCGAUGUCGCUCGCACCUGACUCGAGCAUGAGGUGGAGAACCUGUCUGGAAUGAAAGCAGGACGCUUUUCUUUCGAAAGGCUGAAGA
Molecule: long non-coding RNA, 590 nt
Organism: Macrobrachium nipponense
Lineage: Eukaryota; Metazoa; Arthropoda; Malacostraca; Decapoda; Palaemonidae
Exons: 4
Source: RefSeq, a predicted model, not a curated record